AAUGCAGCCGGACCUGGCUUGGUUCCAGGAACAACAAGAAUAAAGACUUGCUGGGUUCCCACCACACAUGUUGUCGUGAGCUCACUACACACCCUGUCCCUGGAGCAUUGGGAUGCAGCCUGGAGCCAGGAAGAUGACAGUGUUGUGCACAGCUCUGCACUGGUAAUGCACUAUGCAUGAGUCGCCCUCAGGACCUUGUGUUACUGCUGCUGGUUGGCUGGCCAGGCACUGCUGGAUACAGCAAGGGCACUGGCGAUAGCAGGCAGCAGCUUCAGUCCACACCUGCCAACUUCAGCCUAGCCAAGGGCACCCACAUCAGCACGUCCACAGCCUGAGGUCCCCUGGGUUCCACCAAGGACCUCUAAUGCAAGCUGAUAUGGGGCCCUGUGGCCAGCAGGGACCCCUACUAGACCAUCCAGACUUUGCACUAUAAAUCUUACUCAAGGCACCAUACCUGCUGAUAACAGGACCUUAAAGAAGUUAAGAUAUGCAACACUCCAACCAUAAAUCUUCCCCAAGGCAGUUGACCCUAACAUCCACAUGCACAGGAAACCCCAGAAUGGCCACUAUAUGACCUUCCUGGGCCAGCAGUAGUGAGCAACACCACUAUCUUGAACCCACUGAGCAUGGACCAAGACUUCAACCAGGACCAAGCAUGCACAGACACCAUAACAGGAAGGAAGAAAUCACUCCAGGAGGCAGAGGUUCCUGAUGUCAAUCUCUGUACCCUACCCAAUAAAAAACGCUGAGAAGCUCCCCUUGGGGAGCCAGCUGGAGGACUCUU
Molecule: long non-coding RNA, 784 nt
Filed under: Homo sapiens (human)
Lineage: Eukaryota; Metazoa; Chordata; Mammalia; Primates; Hominidae
Description: non-protein coding lnc-RAB40A-3:2
Source: RNAcentral